GAUGAACGCUGGCGGCGUGCCUAAUACAUGCAAGUCGAACGAACUUCCGUUAAUUGAUUAUGACGUACUUGUACUGAUUGAGAUUUUAACACGAAGUGAGUGGCGAACGGGUGAGUAACACGUGGGUAACCUGCCCAGAAGUAGGGGAUAACACCUGGAAACAGAUGCUAAUACCGUAUAACAGAGAAAACCGCAUGGUUUUCUUUUAAAAGAUGGCUCUGCUAUCACUUCUGGAUGGACCCGCGGCGUAUUAGCUAGUUGGCGAGGUAAAGGCUCACCAAGGCAGUGAUACGUAGCCGACCUGAGAGGGUAAUCGGCCACAUUGGGACUGAGACACGGCCCAGACUCCUACGGGAGGCAGCAGUAGGGAAUCUUCCACAAUGGACGCAAGUCUGAUGGAGCAACGCCGCGUGAGUGAAGAAGGGUUUCGGCUCGUAAAGCUCUGUUGUUAAAGAAGAACGUGGGUAAGAGUAACUGUUUACCCAGUGACGGUAUUUAACCAGAAAGCCACGGCUAACUACGUGCCAGCAGCCGCGGUAAUACGUAGGUGGCAAGCGUUAUCCGGAUUUAUUGGGCGUAAAGCGAGCGCAGGCGGUCUUUUAAGUCUAAUGUGAAAGCCUUCGGCUCAACCGAAGAAGUGCAUUGGAAACUGGGAGACUUGAGUGCAGAAGAGGACAGUGGAACUCCAUGUGUAGCGGUGAAAUGCGUAGAUAUAUGGAAGAACACCAGUGGCGAAGGCGGCUGUCUGGUCUGCAACUGACGCUGAGGCUCGAAAGCAUGGGUAGCGAACAGGAUUAGAUACCCUGGUAGUCCAUGCCGUAAACGAUGAUUACUAAGUGUUGGAGGGUUUCCGCCCUUCAGUGCUGCAGCUAACGCAUUAAGUAAUCCGCCUGGGGAGUACGACCGCAAGGUUGAAACUCAAAAGAAUUGACGGGGGCCCGCACAAGCGGUGGAGCAUGUGGUUUAAUUCGAAGCUACGCGAAGAACCUUACCAGGUCUUGACAUCUUCUGACAGUCUAAGAGAUUAGAGGUUCCCUUCGGGGACAGAAUGACAGGUGGUGCAUGGUUGUCGUCAGCUCGUGUCGUGAGAUGUUGGGUUAAGUCCCGCAACGAGCGCAACCCUUAUUACUAGUUGCCAGCAUUAAGUUGGGCACUCUAGUGAGACUGCCGGUGACAAACCGGAGGAAGGUGGGGACGACGUCAAAUCAUCAUGCCCCUUAUGACCUGGGCUACACACGUGCUACAAUGGAUGGUACAACGAGUCGCGAGACCGCGAGGUUAAGCUAAUCUCUUAAAACCAUUCUCAGUUCGGACUGUAGGCUGCAACUCGCCUACACGAAGUCGGAAUCGCUAGUAAUCGCGGAUCAGCAUGCCGCGGUGAAUACGUUCCCGGGCCU
This 1397-nucleotide ribosomal RNA is filed under the name uncultured bacterium. RNAcentral's name for it is "bacterial SSU rRNA". It matches the Rfam family "Bacterial small subunit ribosomal RNA", at positions 28 to 1381 of the family's 1533-position model. The record is from RNAcentral.